GACGAACGCUGGCGGCGUGCUUAACACAUGCAAGUCGAACGGAAAGGCCCCUUUGGGGGUACUCGAGUGGCGAACGGGUGCGUAACACGUGAGUAACCUGCCCUUGACUUCGGGAUAACUUCAGGAAACUGGGGCUAAUACCGGAUAGGAAUCCUUGCUGCAUGGGGGGGGUUGGAAAGCUUCGGCGGUUUUGGAUGGACUCGCGGCUUAUCAGCUUGUUGGUGGGGUAGUGGCUUACCAAGGCUUUGACGGGUAGCCGGCCUGAGAGGGCGACCGGCCACAUUGGGACUGAGAUACGGCCCAGACUCCUACGGGAGGCAGCAGUGGGGAAUAUUGCACCAUGGGCGGAAGCCUGAUGCAGCAACGCCGCGUGCGGGAUGACGGCCUUCGGGUUGUAAACCGCUUUCAGCAGGGGCGAAGCUUGUGGUGACGGUACCUGCAGAAGAAGCACCGGCUAACUACGUG
RNAcentral lists this ribosomal RNA (465 nucleotides) under uncultured bacterium. Its description in RNAcentral is "partial 16S ribosomal RNA". It matches the Rfam family "Bacterial small subunit ribosomal RNA", at positions 28 to 507 of the family's 1533-position model. The record is from RNAcentral.